This 292-nucleotide ribosomal RNA is filed under the name uncultured bacterium. Its description in RNAcentral is "partial 16S ribosomal RNA". It matches the Rfam family "Bacterial small subunit ribosomal RNA", at positions 505 to 796 of the family's 1533-position model. The record is from RNAcentral.
GUGUCAGCAGCCGCGGUAAUACGAGGGGGGCUAGUGUUGUUCGGAAUCACUGGGCGUAAAGGGAGCGUAGGCGGGAGCUCAAGUUGGGUGUUUAAUUCCGGGGCCCAACCCCGGGCGUGCACUCAAAACUGGGUUUCUUGAAUAGGGGAGAGGUCGAUGGAAUUGGAGGUGUAGCGGUGGAAUGCGUAGAGAUCUCCAAGAACACCGGUUGCGAAGGCGGUCGACUGGACCCAUAUUGACGCUGAGGCUCGAAAGCGUGGGGAGCAAACAGGAUUAGAAACCCGCGUAGUCC